CCUACGGGAGUCAGCAGUGGGGAAUAUUGCACAAUGGGGGAAACCCUGAUGCAGCGACGCCGCGUGAGCGAAGAAGUAUUUCGGUAUGUAAAGCUCUAUCAGCAGGGAAGAAAAUGACGGUACCUGAGUAAGAAGCCCCGGCUAAAUACGUGCCAGCAGCCGCGGUAAUACGUAGGGAGCAAGCGUUAUCCGGAUUUACUGGGUGUAAAGGGAGCGCAGGCGGCCUUGCAAGUCUGAUGUGAAAUACCGGGGCUAAACCCCGGAGCUGCAUUGGAAACGGUGAGGCUGGAGUGUCGGAGGGGCAGGCGGAAUUCCUAGUGUAGCGGUGAAAUGCGUAGAUAUUAGGAGGAACACCAGAGGCGAAGGCGGCCUGCUGACGAUGACUGACGCUGAGGCUCGAAAGCGUGGGGAGCAAACAGGAUUAGAUACCCUUGUAGUC
RNAcentral lists this ribosomal RNA (439 nucleotides) under uncultured bacterium. RNAcentral describes it as "partial 16S ribosomal RNA". It matches the Rfam family "Bacterial small subunit ribosomal RNA", at positions 338 to 795 of the family's 1533-position model. The record is from RNAcentral.